GUGUGUUGUGUUGUCAGGAGCGUGUGGAGGAGGAGUUAUCUUCUUAUCUCCUGGCGUCCAUCAGACACAAGGUUCUGGCUCUGACAGCAGAGAAUUCAUCCACUUCUUCCACAAACAGCUCAGUGAUGAUCUGCAGGUGGAGUGUUUCCUGUCCAUUAUAUAUGACUGUACCUGUCACGGGCGUCUGAAGAAGAGGACCAAGGUGCAGCGUGGUGACGAGUUCCAUGGCCCGUUAUGUAGGGAGGCUGUUGAGAGGCAGUGGUGGUGAUCUACUGGUGGACCUCUCUGAGGCCAUCUUCCAUGAGCUGGCCUUCUUCCACCUGAUACAGGACAUGAACAGGUUGGCAGUCAAGCAGAAUGUUCAAUGCACCAGCCCUAUCACAGCCCCUGCAGUGAAAUGG
Long non-coding RNA from Oncorhynchus gorbuscha (pink salmon), 401 nucleotides. RefSeq lists it as uncharacterized. The transcript has 3 exons. NCBI's taxonomy places the organism in Eukaryota, Metazoa, Chordata, Actinopteri, Salmoniformes, Salmonidae. The record is from RefSeq and is a predicted model, not a curated record.